UACGGGGGGGGCAAGCGUUGUUCGGAAUUACUGGGCGUAAAGGGCUCGUAGGCGGCCAACUAAGUCAGACGUGAAAUCCCUCGGCUUAACCGGGGAACUGCGUCUGAUACUGGUUGGCUUGAAUCCGGGAGAGGGAUGUGGAAUUCCAGGUGUAGCGGUGAAAUGCGUAGAUAUCUGGAGGAAUACCGGUGGCGAAGGCGGCAUCCUGGACCGGCAUUGACGCUGAGGAGCGAAAGCUAGGGGAGCAAACGGG
RNAcentral lists this ribosomal RNA (253 nucleotides) under uncultured bacterium. Its description in RNAcentral is "partial 16S ribosomal RNA". It matches the Rfam family "Bacterial small subunit ribosomal RNA", at positions 524 to 776 of the family's 1533-position model. The record is from RNAcentral.